This 343-nucleotide unclassified non-coding RNA is filed under the name fungal sp. RNAcentral's name for it is "partial internal transcribed spacer region". The stretch from base 1 to 46 matches the Rfam family "Eukaryotic small subunit ribosomal RNA", at positions 1786 to 1831 of the family's 1831-position model. Lineage: Eukaryota; Fungi. The record is from RNAcentral.
AAGUCGUAACAAGGUUUCCGUAGGUGAACCUGCGGAAGGAUCAUUACAAAUCCCAUUUGAUUCCUAUCUGUUGAAAUGUGAAAAAGUGAGAGAGAGAGAGAGAGGGGUGGUGGUUAGGGUUCGUGAUUGGUUAGGGUUAGGGUUUAGGUCAGGUUUUGUUAUAAAAUACAACCAUUCUAAUGACUUGUACGAUUCCAUCCCUAUACACACACACUCGCGUUUCUCUUCUUCAUCACCUCACCUGCUUUCUCACUUUUCUUUUCAUUCUUUUUUGUUGAUCUAUUUUAAAUAUUUCGAUGACACACACUUUACACAACUUGUGACAAUGGAUCUCUAGGCUCUU